Long non-coding RNA from Poecilia latipinna (sailfin molly), 1192 nucleotides. RefSeq lists it as uncharacterized. NCBI's taxonomy places the organism in Eukaryota, Metazoa, Chordata, Actinopteri, Cyprinodontiformes, Poeciliidae. The record is from RefSeq and is a predicted model, not a curated record. The transcript is spliced from 3 exons.
AAGAGUCUCAGACGAGGAUAUCUUAUGAGCCGAUUGUCUGAGCCUCCUAUUAAAAAGCCUCUCCAACACCCCAUUGAAUCACACAUUUCCUGACCCUGAUUUCUGAGUCUGCUGCUAUGAUUAGCGUUCCCAGUGGAAGAACUUCAGAUGGAGACAGGCUGCAGUUGGCAAACAAGGCUCUCUGGUUUUCAGUGCUCCUAAGAGCCAGCUGAUCCCUGUUGGAUGCAGAAAUAGAAAUUUCAAUAUAUUUCUAAUUGUAACUGGUUAUGAGUAUGUGGGCUGAGAAUCAGAAGUGCUCUUCAUAGCGCUUGGAAACCAUAAUGAUGAGGAAAAUAAUGACUCUGGGGCUGGGAUAUUUUUAUUUUUGUCCUUGAAACAAAUGUUGCAUUUACAAGUUUCCCUUCACAAACAGCUUUUUAACAUGUUUCUUGUGUCUUUGUUUUAAACUAAGUGAGACCAUAUGUUCUCAAAAGCAGACUGGGCAUAAAUAAUGAACAACAAAUAUCUCAGAAUGCAUGUUUAACCAGUGCUCCCAUUGAAUUAUUUCUUAUUAUUUUUGAUAUAAACAAUUUUUAUCUUUAAGUCCUUGUUGUUUUUCUCUCCUCUCCUGCACUAUAAUCUCUGAUGGUGAGGCUGUGACACCAGCUGCAAAUCAUUCGCUCAUCAUGGAGGACCAGUGGGGCUUCAAGCCAAUCGCAGGGUUGUCCUAUUUUAAUCUUGUUCCUCUCUUGCAAAGAUUUCAGAGUAUUUACAUGCUGUCUCCUUGUGUUUCAGAGCAACUCAUCUGGAACUCACCUCAAGUUCUACUAUUGCUCUGUAAGAGUUCACCUACCUGCUACCGACUUAGCUCUUCAUCCUAAACCUCUAAUCCAGCUGGAGUUUAGCCACCAUCAGUUCAGUGUUUGUGCUAGUCCUGUGACUCACUGGUGACAUGUUCCUGGUGUACCUCAACCCCCCAGUGGUUGGUGGCUGAGGUAGAUUCAAACUACUUUCAUUUUCCCAGUUGCACGAAGCCAUUCUGAACAUGAUGCAAACGAUUGUCUACUGUCGCCCCCUGCUGGCUCCGGAGGAGGGAAUACUGCAAGUCAGUUAUUCAGAACAAUAUGCUUGAUUUCCUUUGACAGAAAAUAUUCAAAGUAAGCAAUAAGCUUAGUUUGAGUAUUGGAUUAAACUUAAUGCACUGACUGAUAAC